GCCUCCUAAUAACACAAAUUUUCAUUCCCAAAUAUGGUGCAUCCAUUCUCACGCUUUUCCCAUUCCAAUGACUACCACCCCAACUCUGCCCAAUCAUUUUUCUUUCUCACCACUCCCUUGCCUCCAGACCUUUCAUUGAAAUCAUGUUAUCUCCCCUCAUCAUCCUCUCCCCUUCCAUCCUCAUCACAGAUUUACCUCCCAUAACCUAUCUUUCACUCACUUGGCUUCACCCACACGAGUUCUUCUCCACCACUUCGAGUCCCUCCACUGCCGCCGUCAAUGACACCGAUUCACGUUUCGAGCCCCAGUCAUCCGUCUGCUUCCCCUCUCCUUUCUGUCGUGUUUGCAGUCCCCCACUCCUGGUGAAACUUCCUCUCUCAAUCCCUAAAUUGCAUUCACGUUCCUACCUCUCUCUGAAGCUUCCCCGUGCCUCUUUGCCCAAGGAAUCAAUUCAACCUUUAAAAACUGGUGCAGCAACGAUCCCUCUCCCCCAACGAUCUCUCUCCGCGUACAGGCUAUCCUUGAUUUGGUUCUCAGCUUGCUCUUUGCUGGCCAUGAAACUUCAUCAGUUCCAUAGCUCUAGCUAUUUACUUCGUGCCAGGUUGUCCUCAAGCUAUGCAACAAUUAAGGGAAGAGCACAGUGAAAUUUCCAGACUCAAGAAGCAGGCAGAGGAAGUUGAAUUGACUUGGGAAGACUACAUGUAGUUUUGAAAUAUUUUGCUUUGUUUUAUAUGUUCUCUGAUUCUCCUUUGCUCCUUUUGUUUAUGCUAAGUUUACAGCUAAUCAAUUAUUUUCAAAUUGUUGCAAAUCCCUCUUUGCUCUUUUUCCAAGGAAAGAAAGAAGUGAUAAGAAAUCAACAUGAAUAUGAAGCUUCUGUGAGCAAGGGAAUUUGCUUUAGCAUAGCUGAGAGAAGUUGUGGAACAUAUUUGUUUCCUCAAAUCCUGUGUUAGAAGCAUCUUGAUUUUUUUAUUUUGUUUUUUCUAUAAUUUAUUGGCUGGUCCUGUUGAAACAUGUGUUAACAAGGUCUUCUUUGGUGUCGACAGGUCAUGGAGUGCAGCUACUGCUCAGUUUUUUUAAGUUGGAUUCAUUGAUUGCAAUAUUAUAUGUCUCCUUUGAGAUUCUUGAUUUUUUUUAGUUGCAGUGUACAUUUGUCCCUUUGCUUUCUGGUCUGGGAGUAACAACUUCUGUACUUUUUUUUAGUUUGUGAUAUUUAAGAAAGUUUUAUGACUGGUUAUUCUUUUCCAUUCAAUGCUCCCUAUUUUUUUCCCACAUACUUUAUGACUGAUUAUUGUUUUGACUGAUUACUUUCAAAUUAGUUGUAAGUUCAUAUUGUUUCUUUUAAGUAUUAUCUCUUAUGGUAACUCAUUUCCUUCAUGAAUUGUCAGGUUGAGCUUUUCUCAAGUCUUUUCCAUGAAUUCUUUUUGGAUUUGUUUAUCUCAUUAGGUUAAUUUUCGUUGGUGGUCUAUCAAAUCAUUUUUUGGCUUUUUGUUUUGUGGUCAAAGUAGAUGAGUAAUUUAAUUUCCAACCUCCAUGUUGGAGAGGUUAAAAUUCAAUUGGUUGGUUUAUGUUUCAUAUUGGUUUAAAGGGAUGAUAACGCUCUUGACUAUACCUUCCAGGUAUUAUGGGGAAAAUGCUCACUGCUCUGAACAUUAAUUGCUGCAAAAGGGUUACCCUGUUCAGUUUUCAAGGUUGUUAGAUAUGAGAAAGAUAAAGAAAACACUUAGUGGACUAAUUAGUAGUCUCAGUUAUGCAAAUAAGCUGCAAUAAAUUCCUGUUUAUAAUGUAAUCCAUAUUGCAGAAGAAAAAUUGAUUGGCAUUGCUCAAUGGGUCUUUUAGCAGCAAAAUAGUUGAACGAGAGGAGAGUUUGAACAUUGUCGGAUACCUCAAAUUUUGAACACUGUCACAUUGUCAUUUGUUUCAAUUGGCAAUGCUUAAGUAGAUCCUCCAAUGGGGUUUUGAGGGGUUUAUUGUUAUUUCUUCAAUUUAUUGGCUGGUGCUAUUUUGUUUCAAUACUCAAAUCUUUUCUCUUUUUUAAUUUAUUUGCAAAAACAAGUACUCCUUCAUGCUUCUAAUUCUGAUUACCAAUGUUUCAUAUUUUGCUCAUAUAA
This is an RNA transcript of Lotus japonicus, 2108 nucleotides long. RefSeq lists it as uncharacterized. The transcript is spliced from 5 exons. The record is from RefSeq and is a predicted model, not a curated record. NCBI's taxonomy places the organism in Eukaryota, Viridiplantae, Streptophyta, Magnoliopsida, Fabales, Fabaceae.